Molecule: small RNA, 363 nt
Filed under: Histoplasma ohiense
Lineage: Eukaryota; Fungi; Ascomycota; Eurotiomycetes; Onygenales; Ajellomycetaceae
Description: hypothetical lncRNA
Source: RNAcentral
UUAGACUCUGGUCACAAUAACCAACUUCGGCUCCUCCAUUAUCCUCCAUUGCAGGCUGCAGCGUUGGAGAACGAACGGUAUGCCCGUAUGUCUGCUCAUACAGAUUGGAGUUCCAUUACCAUACUCUUCCAAGAUGAUUGUGGCGGCCUAGAGGUUGAAAAUAUCAAGCGGCUAGGCCAGUUCAUUAGAGCCACGCCGAUCGAAAACGCUCUUGUCAUGAAUGUUAGCGAUCUCCUUCAAAGAUGGUAAUGAUAAUCUUCGCUCCACAUCUCACCGCGUUACUAUGCCGCCUUUUACAGAUACGUUCGAUGAACCCAAUCGCAUGGUUAAGGAACGUUACUCGAUCCCCUAUUUUAUCGCCCC